CUUUUGUGGGGUGCUCGAGUGGCGAACGGGUGAGUAACACGUGAGUAACCUGCCCUUGACUUUGGGAUAACUUCAGGAAACUGGGGCUAAUACCGGAUAGGAGCUCCUGCUGCAUGGUGGGGUUGGAAAGUUUCGGCGGUUGGGGAUGGACUCGCGGCUUAUCAGCUUGUUGGUGGGGUAGUGGCUUACCAAGGCUUUGACGGGUAGCCGGCCUGAGAGGGUGACCGGCCACAUUGGGACUGAGAUACGGCCCAG
This 255-nucleotide ribosomal RNA is filed under the name uncultured Actinomycetales bacterium. RNAcentral's name for it is "partial 16S ribosomal RNA". It matches the Rfam family "Bacterial small subunit ribosomal RNA", at positions 77 to 334 of the family's 1533-position model. The record is from RNAcentral. Lineage: Bacteria; Bacillati; Actinomycetota; Actinomycetes; Actinomycetales.